This is a long non-coding RNA of Anguilla anguilla (European eel), 705 nucleotides long. RefSeq lists it as uncharacterized. The transcript is spliced from 3 exons. The record is from RefSeq and is a predicted model, not a curated record. NCBI's taxonomy places the organism in Eukaryota, Metazoa, Chordata, Actinopteri, Anguilliformes, Anguillidae.
AUAUGCUGAUGUUAAACCCAUAUUCCUGUCUAUUUGAAAUAACACCAAUUCUGCCUAGUCUGUUCAAACUGCUGCCUGUUCUACUGUACAUCUCCUUUGUAAGCUAAGAAGUUAAUUUCAGCUGACUACAUCAGAAUCGGUACUACCAUUUUAUGAGAGCUGAAAAUGUACAACAUUGUUAAUCAUAAAUUAUAUCUCGGUGGGUAAAUUGAUGGAUAUGCUGUAGAACAUAGUUUGUCAUUGAUUUAUAAAUAUACCCAUAUAUCCUGGGCUUUCACUGAUGGUUUAAUUGUGGUACAUAUGGCACUGGCCUGAUAUGCAUUCUGUUUGCAGUUUGCUUCUACCUGACCGCUUCCUGCAUGUUAGUUGAGGCAAUCCUCUUGUCAGAGCAGAUACCUACCUCCGCCACUGUCAGAGCAAAUCACCAAAAACUCUGUGUAGUCAGACUGUCAAGCUCAUGAAGCUGAUAGCAUCUGCUACCAAUGUGCAAGAAAAAAUUGACAGGUGAAAUCAACAUGAUGGGCUACCUCUUUAAUGUCAUACUUCAAGAGGUAAUCAUCAGGAUCUUGGAAAAUAAUGAGGGCUUCAGCUGCAAUCGGGCAGAAUUUGCCAGGGCCAGUGGAUUUCACCAUUAAAGGCUGAAUGAAUAUGAUAGUCUUGAUUGUAUUUAUUUUGGAUGUUUGAUUAAAGAAAAAUCUAUUGUAA